This 65-nucleotide transfer RNA is filed under the name Sclerophasma paresisense. RNAcentral describes it as "tRNA-Gly". It matches the Rfam family "tRNA". Rfam says of the family: Transfer RNA (tRNA) molecules are approximately 80 nucleotides in length. Their secondary structure includes four short double-helical elements and three loops (D, anti-codon, and T loops). Further hydrogen bonds mediate the characteristic L-shaped molecular structure. tRNAs have two regions of fundamental functional importance: the anti-codon, which is responsible for specific mRNA codon recognition, and the 3' end, to which the tRNAs corresponding amino acid is attached (by aminoacyl-tRNA synthetases). tRNAs cope with the degeneracy of the genetic code in two manners: having more than one tRNA (with a specific anti-codon) for a particular amino acid; and 'wobble' base-pairing, i.e. permitting non-standard base-pairing at the 3rd anti-codon position. Lineage: Eukaryota; Metazoa; Arthropoda; Insecta; Mantophasmatodea; Mantophasmatidae. The record is from RNAcentral.
AUUUAUUUAGUAUAAUAAAGUAUAUUUGACUUCCAAUCAAAUGGUUCAAUAAAAUGAAAUAAAUA